UUUUUGAUAAUUAAUUUUUCUUUACGGGAAAUAACGAAUGAAAACAAUGUAAAUUGAUUCAGCUUAAAGGGACUGUUGGUAAAACUUAAAAUAACCAACAGCAUCAAAACAUGCAUACACUCUAUUCACAUGCGUGCUUUUUAGACCUUGUUCUGAGCCAAAUAUUCUUCUUCUUUUUCUAGCUAAAUAUUGAUUAUUUCUAAUUCAUGUUUGGCUUGAGGAUUCAUGCAGCAGAGAAGGAAAGGGAAUCAACAUAAAAUGUUUUUUUAACGGGUUUCCCUUUGGAAUGGAGCAUGUAACAUUUUACAAAAAGUAUCAAUUAAAAUAAUGAAAUUCAGUCGUAAAAUUCGUAGACAAUUGAAAAUACGUCAUAGAAAUCGUAGACAACUGCGACUAUUAGAGUAAAAUUUUGUACUUUUUUCUGCAACAUUUGUUGCGAAAAGUUGUUACAAAAAUCCACUUAGUGGGAUCUUUAUUACACCAUUAUCCAACACUAAACUACUAGGAAAAGGUGCUAAAAAAUGAAAAACAAAUACUGCGGUAUAUUUAUUGAAACUUUAAACCAACAUAAGGGUGACCAGAUCUAUUUAAAAUGCAUUUAAAUAUAUAUAUACAGGGUGGCCCACAAAGAAUGAGUCUUAAGUGACGACUUCCCUGAAACUUUACACUUUAUUUCUGCUCCCCUUUCCAAUCUUUACUAAAUCAUUUAAAGAAAAAAGACCCAAUCUAACUUUAAUAUUAAAAUAUUUAAAGAGUUUUAUAAUGUUUUUAUUCAAGUCUUAUUCUUUUUGGAUGAACCUGAAUGCCUCCCUUAAAUGUGGAAAUAGAAAAUAAUGUUGGAAUGCACAACAUCUCAUUAAACAUUCAGACUACGAAAGGUACAUUACCGAUUUAUCGGCAGCUAGUAUCAGAAUAUGUACAGACUAUAGACAGUGAAAGUACACCGUUUGAAUUAUCCCCUUCUGAAGAGAUUGUUGUGUUUUAAAAGCAAAAAAAGAUUAACUAGACGCAGCUCUGUUUUCAAUUCAUGGAAAUAAAAAAAGCAAAAUAUAGAUAGAUUUCAUUUUUUAAGUGAUCAGAUUGGGAUUGACAGUAACAGCUUGCU
This is a long non-coding RNA of Eurytemora carolleeae, 1105 nucleotides long. RefSeq lists it as uncharacterized. The transcript is spliced from 3 exons. The record is from RefSeq and is a predicted model, not a curated record. Lineage: Eukaryota; Metazoa; Arthropoda; Copepoda; Calanoida; Temoridae.